Molecule: long non-coding RNA, 2559 nt
Filed under: Macaca fascicularis (crab-eating macaque)
Lineage: Eukaryota; Metazoa; Chordata; Mammalia; Primates; Cercopithecidae
Description: lncRNA (ENSMFAG00000055454.1)
Source: RNAcentral
UCUUGGAGGUGCCUGAAGAUGUCUACAACUGGAAGAAAAGAAGCCACUGGAGCGGAAGGUGGGGAGGAUAAAGUUUGGAGCAAGAUUCUCAAGGAAGCAACAAGAUCCUAAGAAAGAGAGAAAGAGACCACCUACUGCAUUUCUGUUCCUUGCUGAAAAGGACACUCUGUCAGAGAAUCUUCUAGCAAACUUCAAAGAGCAAAAUCACCCUUUGUUAUGGAUAAAGUCCAGAGAGCUUCAGCAGCUAACAUUCCCUGGACAGGGUACAGCAAGGAUUUGAACCUAGGCCAGUCUGGCCAGAACAUCCACAAGCUUUCCUUAACUCAGUGGGCUAUCUCCCCAAGACUAGGUCACUACUGCUUUGUAAUCACCUUUGUAGCCACCAGCGGAUUUUGCUCAUCAGUAUUUUCCAGGAAAGAAGAAAAUCGGAGGAGCUCCAGCUCUUUGAAAGCAAACAGCAGCUCCUGGGGAUGAUGGCCUGUCUGAGUGCCCGGGGAGUCCAGUCCUGCCCGCUCUCUGUAGGUUUCACUGCAAAGUGGGGUCCAUGGGAACUCAGAGAUCUGAACCCCAAGUCCUGCCCUCCACUGGUGCCCUAGGGAAGGUGUGCACCAGAUUGAGACAAGCAAAAGGAACAUGUGCACCCAGCUGAGGCUGCAGCUCAGGCACAGCGUAGAGGCACAGGCAGUAUGUGCCUGGCAGGUGGGGGUAAGAGGUUGAGGGCUCGGGAGACUCUGGGUUCAGAACAAUUCUCUGCUGCAGGUCUGGAGAGAAAAGAUUUCAAGAACCAGACAUGAAUGGGUGUGAGAGGGUUCUGCUCCUGAUGGACACUGACUAGCUCCUUCCCACCCAACCUCACUCUAGGCUCCUGGCUGGGGAGCCCACUCCCGGGGGGGCUUCUGACCGCUUUACUCCAUCACUCUAGAACUGCGAUGCCCCCAUUAAAAUGCCCUUAAAUCCCAACAAAGGCCUGGGGAGCUGCUUCGCCCUAAUGGCAGAGUGAGGAUGGGGCAGUGGGCAGCAGGGGGGCCCACACCCUCCAUCACACAGAGGCCACACCCGUCAGGGGUCUGCGUGGCAAUUAGCAGGCUCAGGCAAAAACAAGGACUCUUGGGACAGCCCACAUGUCCACAGGAGGCCCUCCCGUUAGGUCAAAAGAGUCCAUGCAGGACUAGGACCCCACAGCAAGAAGAGCCACUGGCAAAGCUGAAAUGCCCUGGUGGCUGGAGAUGCAAGUGAGACCUGGGCCUGUGUGUGCACAUUCUCACAGCGGAUCUGGACCAGGUCAAGGAGUCAUGAGUCCCCAGAGUGCUGGCAGCUAUGCAGAGGCAAGGCUGAAGGACAGGCAUCCUGUCUGGGGCAGACCCUGGCUGGCUGGUCUCAGCCCCCUGUUCCUGCUCCUGGUCCAAUGGGCCCUGCAAGGCAGCAGGUGAGUGGUCAGAUGUCCAUGCUUUGGCAGAGCCACACUGCCUGGUCUCACAUUCUCACUCUGCCAUUGAGGAGCUUGAUGCCCUUGGGCAAGUGGCUUAACCACCCCGUGACUUGGUUUUCCUGUCUGGACACUUGGGGUAGUAAUAGCAGCUGCCUCAAAGGGCUGUUGUUCUGAGAUGAAAAUGGAUUAUGAGAUGCUUUGAACCGCGCUUCACACGUAGCAAGUACCUAGGUUAGCCGUCAUUAUAGGCAUCGUUAUAGGGGACCCUGAGAUGAAGGGGAAGUGGGUGAGACACCCCAUGGAGCCGUAGGCCCACCACUCUCACUUCUCUAAGCUCCUGAAACAGCUCUUUCCCUGGGAAUUGCACUAGAGAAUUUUACUGUGGUCUUUUCGCUUACUGAUUGUGAGACCUUGAAGAACACGGCCUGUUUACCAUGCCCUGGUUUUAUGCAUUUUGAUAUUCUCUUGUGUGUCUAGUAUAUGGUGGGACCUUAAUACUCAGAUUAAGAUUUUAGGAAAAUGACCACCUAAAAUAUAUUUGUAAUGGGAUUGCAUAAGCUCUCUGAUAUCUGCAAUGAAACAUGACAUCUUGAUGGUGUCUUUUAAGAGUGGUGGGCCAAGUUUGAUCUUGUUUAGCGAUUAGAUAAAGGGUUAUUGUAAGGACUAACUCUUCCCAAAUCUACUGUAUGGAGCCUGAGUGGUUAUUAUAAUCAUGCCUUCCUGGGUCCUUUUCUGUAAUACACAUAAUCAUUCUAUAACAUGCCCAGAAAUAAAGGCCUUCAACAUUCUAUAAUAUAUCUUCUCCUUGGUAAUACAGUCUUCUAAGGACUUAGGGGUUGCCUCAGGAAAGAUAAGAGUUUCCAGGAAAAAAAAAAUACACACACACACAAAAAACAGCAAGUGGUAGAAUUUACCCAAAAAGAUUAGAGACCACCUUUUGCCUCGCUAUUUCCCAUCUCCUAACACCCCAUUCUGGUCUCGCCAGGGGAGAUUUUCACUAUGAGCCCAUCACCCCACACCUUCUAAUUCAUCUUGCUUAAAGACACUUCAUCCAAGCUUUGUAUUCGGUCCUUCUGACAGGUAGGAAUGAGUCACCGCUUUGGCUCCCAGUGACAGAAACCAGCCCUGGC